GAGUAGAGGGUGAAAUUUUGUCCGCGUCUGUUAGCUGACUGUGAUGUUUGCAACAAAAUGAGCCAGGGUGAGUCAUCGGGGCGCAGACGCACUUUUUUUUCCCCGAAAGGCUAGAGAGGGAGUCUGUCGACCAUGAUUUCUUCAUAGAACUGAACUUCGUUUGUGUCAGAUUCUAUCUCUGUUCGCCUUCUGGUGUUCGGUAACUUGCAUUCAUGGCUAUGGUGGGGUUCUGCUGUAGAUGGGAAAAAAAGAGGGUAGAUUUUAUU
This 266-nucleotide long non-coding RNA is filed under the name Ananas comosus (pineapple). RNAcentral's name for it is "long non-coding RNA (ACOM_LNC007661)". The record is from RNAcentral. Lineage: Eukaryota; Viridiplantae; Streptophyta; Magnoliopsida; Poales; Bromeliaceae.